UUUGUUUUUUGCAGUGCAGACAACUCUGAGAUCAUGCAGAUUGAUUUUGAAAUUGAAGACCUCAGUGAUCUACCUGGGACGCAGCUUAUCACAUGGCAGGUUGAAUAUCCUGGGGAUACAUCGUCUGAUCUAGGAGUCUCCAAGAUCUAUGUAAGCCAGAAGGAUCUUGUAGGAGUCUUGCCUUUGGCGAUGGAAGCUGAGAUCCUGAACACAGCGAUUCUCACUGGGAAAACUGUGGCUGUCCCUGUUAAGGUGGUUUCAGUGGAGGUUGAUGGGACAGUGACUGAUCUUCUGGAAUCAGUGGAGUGUAGAUCAUCUGAUGAAGAUGUAAUUAAGGUUUCUGACAGAUGUGACUAUGUCUUUGUCAACGGGAAAGAAAUGAAAGGCAAAGUGAAUGUCAUUGUUAAUUUUACUUACCAGCAUCUGACUGCCUCACUAGAAUUGACUGUCUGGGUUCCUCGCCUCCCACUACAGAUAGAGAUCUCUGACACAGAAUUAAACCAGAUCAAGGGGUGGAGGGUCCCCAUCCUCUCUAAUAAGAGACCAGCUCGAGACAGCGAUGAUGAAGAAGAGGAUGAGCGGAAGGGCAGAGGCUGCACCCUGCAGUACCAGCAUGCCAUGGUGCGAGUCCUAACACAGUUUGUCGCUGAACCCUCCGACUCAGGUGGCCAGCUAAGCUAUUUGCUGGGCUCUGACUGGCAGGUUGAUAUCACGGAGCUGGUGAGUGACUUCAUGCAGGUGGAGGAGCCCAGAAUCGCUAAGCUGCAAGGUGGACAGGUUUUGAUUGGGCAGGAACUCGGAAUGACGACAAUUCAGAUACUGUCCCCUCUUUCGGAUGCCAUCUUGGCUGAGAAGACCGUGACCGUUAUGGAUGAGAAGGUGACAAUUACAGACCUCGGAGUUCAGCUGGUAACUGGGUUGUCACUCUCCCUCCAGCUCAGUCCAGGGAGCAAUAAGGCCAUCUUUGCUACCGCACAGUCACCGAAGCAGGAAGCGACCAUCAGCUGCUGGGUCCAGUUCAGUGAUGGAUCUGUCAUGCCCCUGGAUAUUUACGAUGUCAAAGAUUUCUCCUUGAUGGCUACCUCUCUAGAUGAAAAAGUGAUCUCCGUUCAUCACGACCCUAAAUUCAAGUGGCCCAUGCUCACUGCUGAGACUGAAGGCCAGGGGCCACUGGUGAAGGUAGAGAUGGUGAUCAGUGAACCAUGCCAGAAAUCCAAAAGGAAGAGUGUCCUGGCUGUUGGGAGUGGGAACAUUAAAGUCAAGUUCGGACAGAGUGACACCAAUCUUAAUGUCAGUGACAGCAAGCAAAGUGGAACUGGUGUCCACCUGGAAAACCAUGCAAGUGACCGGCGUCAGAAAACCACUUUUCAAGACAGAGUUAGGCCAGACGGGCAGUAUUACAGCAGCUCCUCAGUGGGCCGUAUGGAAGGCAGAGGAACUACCACGGACAGGUCAAUUUUAAGUAAAAAAGAGGACAGAGAAAGCCUUCUGGAUGAUGACAGCUAUAUGCAGAACAUUCCAAUAGACUUCACCAGUUUCCCUGCACAGGUAGACUUGCCACGAAGCAAUGGGGACUUGGAAGAAAAUGACCUUGUGCAGACGCCCCGAGGGCUCAGUGAUCUGGAGAUAGGAAUGUAUGCUUUGUUGGGAGUCUUCUGCCUGGCCAUCCUUGUCUUCCUUAUCAACUGUGUCACUUUUGCUUUGAAGUACAGGCACAAGCAGGUCCCUUUUGAAGAGCAGGAAGGCAUGAACCACUCUCAUGACUGGGUUGGGUUGAGUAACCGGGCAGAGCUUCUGGAGAAUCACAUUAAUUUCUCCUCCCCUCAAGAUGAGUGCAUCACUGCCAUUGACCGAGGGGUAGACUUUGAGGAAAGCAAGUAUCUUCUCAACACAAAUGCCCAAAAGAAUAUUAAUGAUCAGGUCCUCAGGUCACAAGAGUCCACAUUCACUGAAGGGAAAGAACAGAAAAGUGAACCAACUGCCUCUCCUACCUCCAAGCGGAAACGAGUCAAAUUCACCACAUUUACCACCAUCUCAUCUGACGAUGGAUGUCCUACUGUCAACUCCAUUCUGAUGAGUAGUGAGGAUGAUAUUAAAUGGGUGUGCCAGGAUAUGGACCUUGGGGAGUGCAAAGAGCUAAAAAACUAUAUGGAGAGGUUACAUGAGAAUGUGUAAUGAGACGCUAAGGACCAUUUUGGUUUUUGGUUUUCACACACCUUUCUGCCUUUAAUUUUGGGUAUUGGGGCAAAAAAUGCAUUGGCAAAUGAGAAUCAAGAGGUGAAUCAUACCUCACUGGAGCCCCAGAAAGCCACCCAAAACCAGCUGAGACACAGAGAUCCUGGCCAUCUCAUACAGUUCAAGUCUUCUAUGUUCUUGGAGACUGGAGCAAAAUGUAUGUGAGGUUUCAGAUGCAUGGCAAUAUGGGAAAAAAAACUUAGCAAAAUAAUAAGAUCUCAUUCUCUGAGCUUUCCCAGGAAAUCAAUAAAAAUAACAAACUCCAACACCGUUUGGAUAUUACAAAGCUCACACAGUUCUAAUGUUCAAUAUCACAGGCUGUAGUUAAAAGUGAAAAUCAGGCUUGGAAUAAAUGGAUCAAUGAAAGGAAGCUUGUCAUUCAAGACACAAGCAGAGGAUACCCAGCUGAGAACGUUAAUUUAAAGCUGACAAACAACUGCUGUAUGAGCAGCAGAGCAACCACAGUUGCAAAGUUAUGAAUUUCCAAAGAAUAAAGCAGGGCAGGGGGAGUGACUGAGUUGUUUACAGACCCGCAUGAUCAUCUUCCAAGCACUGAGAACGGUUACACAUGUACAGUGAUAACUGAAGCUUUCUUUUUAAGUAGAUGCUGAGAUAAUAAACUUUGCUGGCCAAUUUUCAGUAUUUCUUAAUUUGUAAAAUAGAAGGUAUAAUCUAUAAUCAACAUACUGCUCAUAUAAAGGAAGGUUUGCUUUGGAAAGGUUUGAGAAACCUUACGUCUUUUAAAGAAGCCCAUUUUAUCCAGUUUUCCUGUUUAAAUUUGUAUUCCCCAUGCAUUUUCCUGGAGCACUCUCAUUUGAUAUGCUGGGGGCACUUAUUAGCACUAAUCUGGUUUGUAAGUUUGGUGACUUUUCCCUUCUCUCAGAUCCAAAUUUAUUUAUCCACAGUGCAAUUUUGCCAAGCGCAGAAGCCAUUGGACCUAAAUGGGUACUUGCUUUACAUGUUGUAAUUUAUUAAAGUUAGCUAUUCUGUCUUGGGUAGGUAUAACUCGUGCUGAACUCAGAAACCAGUGGUGACUGGCUCUUUGUUCUCCUUCUUCUUUUGAGGUUAGAUUGCUCACUUCCACUUUGAUCAUGCAUUUUCAGACCCACUGCUGGGCAUAUUUAUAUGGCAACAUGAAGGCCAGGAAGGCGAAGGCUAAGCUUGGUAAAUAACAUUUGUUUCAUCCAGCAGUAUGAUUGUAUCUGCUCAUUCCUUUUACAUAUAUGUACAGUAGAAUUCCAGUAAUUGCCGUUUGAAUCUGAAGUGCCCUCUUGCCCUAAAACUGAGAAAUCAUCUGUUUGAUCCAGAGUUAAUUUCCAGUGACCAGUGGCAAAGUGCCAAGAAAUGAGGUUUGGUUUGGACUGCUUCUUUUUCCUAAUUUUCCUUUGGUUUGUAAACUAAGCCCAUGCCUUUAGUGGAUUACAAAGUCUCUCACAGCCACCAAAUCUAGGUUGUCCAAUUUAAUACUCUAUUCUACCCAGAAACGCCUUGACUGAAUCCCUCUGUAUUUAGAAUGUAUUGUAGAUUGUAAGAAUGUACUAUAUAUUUAUAAACAUACCAACGGCAAAUAAAAUUUGCAUUUCGGUGGGCUUCAUCUUUUUUCCUGUUCUCUCCCGUUGCCCUUGUUCACCUUUUAAAAGAGUACCAGCAAUGCAUACAACCGUCCUUGGUUUAAGGGAACACACAGAUUUAAGGAUCUCAGCACAAUCCAGUCACAAACUCUUCUCUCUUGUGCUGUGGCACUUUGUGUUGGGGAAAAAUAAAAUAACAACACAUUAUGAUGAAGUAUGUUUUUCACCAAGUCACCCUUUCAGGAUUUGGAACUCUUUGCAAAUAACACCUGUGUAUUUCUGCCUGGAAAGCUUUCUGUAUGAGAUGAGGAUGGUGUUCAGUUUGGGGCAGCCAGAAAGAGAGCAAUAGAUAUUGGCCCUUGUUUCUAUUUAUAAAAAUUCCUUAGAGGACAACUUUAAAAGAAUUACUUGGUGUAUCUAGAGAGGAGGCAAACAUACCAGGAGAAUGUGAAGAAUAAUAUUGGAUGUAGCAUAGGCCUAGCAUGUCAUGGAGAGUGUCUCUGUACAGGGGUCAGAUUAAUGAGGCCUCUUGUAUAUUGGCACGUGAGUAGAUGGCCUCUGAGGGUUUAGUGUUCUCUCUAUAAAGCCUUGUUUACAUUAACCCCCACUGCUGAUCUAUUUGACGUAACUUCAGCUUAUGCAAGUAGUGUAGCUGUAGUUGAUGUACUUACUGCAUCAUUUUGUGUGCAGUAAGGGCAGGCAGGGGCUGAUCUCCCAUCAACACCGACUACUCUUUUCAUCCUGAUGGAGUACCAGCAUUGACAAGAGAGUGCUUGGACACUGAUUUAUCGCAUCUAAGCAGAUGCAAUAAAUCGACAGCCAGUGGAUCAAUCAUUGCAGCAUCUAUCCCCAGCAUAAUGGAGAGAAGCCUCUGAAAGAUGUUUCAGUCCCUGGAAUCAGAGCAGUGACUCCACAUGGUAAAAUUUCCAUAUGUUUUCUGACACUCCACAGAAGUUUCCUCACUCAUGAGGAACCUAGGCUCAGAGGGUCAGGGCUAAAUGAGUCAAUUACAGGUGGUCCACAAGGCCCAAAUAUAGUAAGUCCUUCAGGGUACAUCUACACUACAGCAUUAUUUUGAAAUA
This is a non-coding RNA of Pelodiscus sinensis (Chinese soft-shelled turtle), 4888 nucleotides long. Lineage: Eukaryota; Metazoa; Chordata; Testudines; Trionychidae. The record is from RefSeq and is a predicted model, not a curated record.